GAUGAACGCUGGCGGCGUGCCUAAUACAUGCAAGUCGAGCGAACAGACGAGGAGCUUGCUCCUCUGACGUUAGCGGCGGACGGGUGAGUAACACGUGGAUAACCUACCUAUAAGACUGGGAUAACUUCGGGAAACCGGAGCUAAUACCGGAUAAUAUAUUGAACCGCAUGGUUCAAUAGUGAAAGACGGUUUUGCUGUCACUUAUAGAUGGAUCCGCGCCGCAUUAGCUAGUUGGUAAGGUAACGGCUUACCAAGGCAACGAUGCGUAGCCGACCUGAGAGGGUGAUCGGCCACACUGGAACUGAGACACGGUCCAGACUCCUACGGGAGGCAGCAGUAGGGAAUCUUCCGCAAUGGGCGAAAGCCUGACGGAGCAACGCCGCGUGAGUAAUGAAGGUCUUCGGAUCGUAAAACUCUGUUAUUGGGGAAGAACAAAUGUGUAAGUAACUAUGCACGUCUUGACGGUACCUAAUCAGAAAGCCACGGCUAACUACGUG
This 497-nucleotide ribosomal RNA is filed under the name uncultured bacterium. RNAcentral describes it as "partial 16S ribosomal RNA". It matches the Rfam family "Bacterial small subunit ribosomal RNA", at positions 28 to 507 of the family's 1533-position model. The record is from RNAcentral.